Molecule: small RNA, 300 nt
Filed under: Histoplasma ohiense
Lineage: Eukaryota; Fungi; Ascomycota; Eurotiomycetes; Onygenales; Ajellomycetaceae
Description: hypothetical lncRNA
Source: RNAcentral
GAAUCAGUUCACUCCUCUGACAUGCGAUAUAUCUGCUCGCAGAUACAUCUAUCCAUGCUUCCUCUAUUCCUUUUUUCUAUUAUUUCAUAAUAUUGCGUUCGAGUAUUUUUCGUCUGGCUUUGUCCCUGUUACUACUUGGAGGAAGCCAACUCCCCUCUAUCAAAUUACUGCCGCUCUUCGUUGAGUGAACUAUGCAUACAAGUCGCACCCAAAAGAAGGCUACGGCCUGCUACUAUUGGCACAAUGGUCGGUGUAAAUAUACAGCGGAUGUUUGCAUGUAUGCGCAUCGCCAUACUGGCC